UACCAGCACCCCGAGUGGUCGGGACGAUUAUUGGGCCUAAAGCAUCCGUAGCCGGUCCUGCAAGUCUUCCGUUAAAUCCAGCUGCUCAACAGAUGGGCUGCGGGGGAUACUACAUGGCUAGGAGGCGGGAGAGGCAAGCGGUACUCUAUGGGUAGGGGUAAAAUCCGUUGAUCCAUAGAAGAGCACCAGUGGCGAAGGCGGCUUGCCAGAACGCGCUCGACGGUGAGGGAUGAAAGCUGGGGGGGCAAACCGG
Molecule: ribosomal RNA, 253 nt
Filed under: uncultured bacterium
Lineage: Bacteria
Description: partial 16S ribosomal RNA
Rfam family: Archaeal small subunit ribosomal RNA
Source: RNAcentral